RNAcentral lists this ribosomal RNA (460 nucleotides) under uncultured bacterium. RNAcentral's name for it is "partial 16S ribosomal RNA". It matches the Rfam family "Bacterial small subunit ribosomal RNA", at positions 338 to 795 of the family's 1533-position model. The record is from RNAcentral.
CCUACGGGCGGCAGCAGUGAGGAAUAUUGGUCAAUGGACGAGAGUCUGAACCAGCCAAGUAGCGUGAAGGAUGACUGCCCUAUGGGUUGUAAACUUCUUUUAUAUGGGAAUAAAAUGUUCCACGUGUGGGAUUUUGUAUGUACCAUAUGAAUAAGGAUCGGCUAACUCCGUGCCAGCAGCCGCGGUAAUACGGAGGAUCCGAGAUUUAUCCGGAUUUAUUGGGUUUAAAGGGAGCGUAUGUGGAUUGUUAAGUCAGUUGUGAAAGUUUGCGGCUCAAACGUAAAAUUGCAGUUGAAACUGUGAGUCUUGAGUACAGUAGAGGUGGGCGGAAGUCGUGGUGUAGUGGUGAAAUGCUUAGAUAUCACGAAGAACUCCGAUUGCGAAGGCAGCUCACUGGACUGCAACUGAAACGGAGGCUCGAAAGUGUGGGUAUCAAACAGGAUUAGAGACCCGGGUAGUC